RNAcentral lists this ribosomal RNA (416 nucleotides) under Streptomyces litmocidini. RNAcentral's name for it is "bacterial SSU rRNA". It matches the Rfam family "Bacterial small subunit ribosomal RNA", at positions 21 to 441 of the family's 1533-position model. The record is from RNAcentral. Lineage: Bacteria; Bacillati; Actinomycetota; Actinomycetes; Kitasatosporales; Streptomycetaceae.
GGCUCAGGACGAACGCUGGCGGCGUGCUUAACACAUGCAAGUCGAACGAUGAAGCCCUUCGGGGUGGAUUAGUGGCGAACGGGUGAGUAACACGUGGGCAAUCUGCCCUUCACUCUGGGACAAGCCCUGGAAACGGGGUCUAAUACCGGAUAACACCGGCUCCUGCAUGGGGGCUGGUUAAAAGCUCCGGCGGUGAAGGAUGAGCCCGCGGCCUAUCAGCUUGUUGGUGGGGUAAUGGCCUACCAAGGCGACGACGGGUAGCCGGCCUGAGAGGGCGACCGGCCACACUGGGACUGAGACACGGCCCAGACUCCUACGGGAGGCAGCAGUGGGGAAUAUUGCACAAUGGGCGAAAGCCUGAUGCAGCGACGCCGCGUGAGGGAUGACGGCCUUCGGGUUGUAAACCUCUUCAGCAG